GACGAACGCUGGCGGCGUGCUUAACACAUGCAAGUCGAACGGAAAGGCCCUGCUUUUGUGGGGUGCUCGAGUGGCGAACGGGUGAGUAACACGUGAGUAACCUGCCCUUGACUUUGGGAUAACUUCAGGAAACUGGGGCUAAUACCGGAUAGGAGCUCCUGCUGCAUGGUGGGGGUUGGAAAGUUUCGGCGGUUGGGGAUGGACUCGCGGCUUAUCAGCUUGUUGGUGGGGUAGUGGCUUACCAAGGCUUUGACGGGUAGCCGGCCUGAGAGGGUGACCGGCCACAUUGGGACUGAGAUACGGCCCGGACUCCUACGGGAGGCAGAAGUGGGGAAUAUUGCACAAUGGGCGGAAGCCUGAUGCAGCAACGCCGCGUGCGGGAUGACGGCCUUCGGGUUGUAAACCGCUUUCGCCUGUGACGAAGCGUGAGUGACGGUAAUGGGUAAAGAAGCACCGGCUAACUACGUG
This 468-nucleotide ribosomal RNA is filed under the name uncultured bacterium. RNAcentral describes it as "partial 16S ribosomal RNA". It matches the Rfam family "Bacterial small subunit ribosomal RNA", at positions 28 to 507 of the family's 1533-position model. The record is from RNAcentral.